This 87-nucleotide transfer RNA is filed under the name Candidatus Omnitrophota bacterium. RNAcentral describes it as "tRNA-Ser". It matches the Rfam family "tRNA". From Rfam's summary of the family: Transfer RNA (tRNA) molecules are approximately 80 nucleotides in length. Their secondary structure includes four short double-helical elements and three loops (D, anti-codon, and T loops). Lineage: Bacteria; Pseudomonadati; Candidatus Omnitrophota. The record is from RNAcentral.
GGAGAGGUCGCAUAGCCCGGUUGAGUGCGCGCGCUUGGAGAGCGUGUGACCCGAAAGGGUCCGGGAGUUCGAAUCUCCCCCUCUCCG